AUUCAGAUGACGAGUCCCAAAUAGAACGAAAUGCACAUCCUGGAU
This 45-nucleotide non-coding RNA is filed under the name Trichobilharzia regenti. Lineage: Eukaryota; Metazoa; Platyhelminthes; Trematoda; Strigeidida; Schistosomatidae. The record is from RNAcentral.